This is a non-coding RNA of Chrysemys picta bellii (western painted turtle), 358 nucleotides long. The record is from the annotation of a RefSeq genome assembly. NCBI's taxonomy places the organism in Eukaryota, Metazoa, Chordata, Testudines, Emydidae.
AUUCCAAUGGGCAGAUUGUGAUGACUCAAACUCCAGAAUCCCUGGCAGUGUCUCCUGGAGACACAGUCACUAUCCGCUGCAAAGCCAGUUCAAGCCUCACCAGUGGUAGCUAUCACUACUUAGCCUGGUACCAACAAAAAUCAGGACAAGCUCCGAAGCUCCUUAUCUAUCUUGCUUCUACCCUGCAAUCCGGGGUCCCAGCGCGGUUCAGCGGCAGCGGAUCUGGCACUGAUUACACCCUCACAAUCAGUAAGGUUGAAGCUGAAGAUGCUGGAGAUUAUUAUUGUCAGCAGUCUCGCAGCUCACCUCUCACAGUGAUACAGACCAAUACAAAAACCUCCAUCCUGUUCCUUUCAGG